This 235-nucleotide ribosomal RNA is filed under the name uncultured Actinomycetales bacterium. Its description in RNAcentral is "partial 16S ribosomal RNA". It matches the Rfam family "Bacterial small subunit ribosomal RNA", at positions 97 to 334 of the family's 1533-position model. Lineage: Bacteria; Bacillati; Actinomycetota; Actinomycetes; Actinomycetales. The record is from RNAcentral.
GGCGAACGGGUGAGUAACACGUGGGUGAUCUGCCCUGCACUUCGGGAUAAGCUUGGGAAACUGGGUCUAAUACCGGAUAGGAGCCAUCUUUAGUGUGGUGGUUGGAAAGUUUUUUCUUGUGUAGGAUGAGCUCGCGGCCUAUCAGCUUGUUGGUGGGGUAAUGGCCUACCAAGGCGGCGACGGGUAGCCGGCCUGAGAGGGUGUACGGCCACAUUGGGACUGAGAUACGGCCCAG